CCGGGAAGAGCUCAAAUUUGAAAUCUGGCGUCCUCAGGGCGUCCGAGUUGUAAUCUAUAGAGGCGUUUUCCGUGCCGGACCGUGUCCAAGUUCCUUGGAACAGGAUAUCAAAGAGGGUGACAAUCCCGUACUUGACACGACGACCGGUGCUCUGUGAUACGUCUUCUACGAGUCGAGUUGUUUGGGAAUGCAGCUCAAAAUGGGUGGUGAGUUCCAUCUAAAGCUAAAUAUUGGCGAGAGACCGAUAGCGAACAAGUACCGUGAGGGAAAGAUGAAAAGCACUUUGGAAAGAGAGUUAAACAGUACGUGAAAUUGUUGAAAGGGAAACGAUUGAAGUCAGUCGUGACCGAGAGGCUCAGCCGGUUCUGCCGGUGUAUUCCCCUCGGUCGGGUCAACAUCAGUUUUGUCCGGUGGAUAAGGGCGGUAGGAAGGUGGCACCCUCGGGUGUGUUAUAGCCUGCCGUCGCAUACAUCGGGUGAGACUGAGGAACGCAGCUCGCCUUUAUGGCCGGGGUUCGCCCACGUCCGAGCUUAGGAUGUUGACAUAAUGGCUUUAAACGACCCGUCUUGA
RNAcentral lists this ribosomal RNA (570 nucleotides) under Papiliotrema laurentii. RNAcentral describes it as "partial 26S ribosomal RNA". It matches the Rfam family "Eukaryotic large subunit ribosomal RNA", at positions 98 to 657 of the family's 3401-position model. Lineage: Eukaryota; Fungi; Basidiomycota; Tremellomycetes; Tremellales; Rhynchogastremaceae. The record is from RNAcentral.